This 497-nucleotide ribosomal RNA is filed under the name uncultured bacterium. RNAcentral describes it as "partial 16S ribosomal RNA". It matches the Rfam family "Bacterial small subunit ribosomal RNA", at positions 28 to 507 of the family's 1533-position model. The record is from RNAcentral.
GAUGAACGCUGGCGACGUGCCUAAUACAUGCAAGUCGAGCGAACAGACGAGGAGCUUGCUCCUCUGACGUUAGCGGCGGACGGGUGAGUAACACGUGGAUAACCUACCUAUAAGACUGGGAUAACUUCGGGAAACCGGUGCUAAUACCGGAUAAUAUAUUGAACCGCAUGGUUCAAUAGUGAAAGACGGUUUUGCUGUCACUUAUAGAUGGAUCCGCGCCGCAUUAGCUAGUUGGUAAGGUAACGGCUUACCAAGGCGACGAUGCGUAGCCGACCUGAGAGGGUGAUCGGCCACACUGGAACUGAGACACGGUCCAGACUCCUACGGGAGGCAGCAGUAGGGAAUCUUCCGCAAUGGGCGAAAGCCUGACGGAGCAACGCCGCGUGAGUGAUGAAGGUCUUCGGAUCGUAAAACUCUGUUAUUAGGGAAGAACAAAUGUGUAAGUAACUAUGCACGUCUUGACGGUACCUAAUCAGAAAGCCACGGCUAACUACGUG